AGCUCCAUAAAAUUCUAGGAGAUAAGGUGAACAAUACUGCUGUAAUUGAAAAGCAAGUACUAGAACUUUGGGACAGACUGUAUCACUCUUGGUUUGUAAAGAAUGUAACACACUCUGGAAGGCACAAAGGACAGAAGUUGCAUGUCAGUCGUCAGAAUAGCUGGCUGGGAGACAUUCUGGACUGGCAGGAUAUUGUUUCCUUUGUUCACGAGAACAUUGAGACAUUUCUUUCGAUCUUGGAGUCUCUGUGGAUCGUUAUGAGCCGGAAUGUGAGCCUGCUGUUCACCACUGUCACUACACUCUUGACCAUCCUCUUCUACAGCGGGACAGCCCUUCUCAAUUUUGUACUCUCUCUGAAGCCUCCUGGCCUUACAUACAGAAUGCCUGGACAAGAGAGAACUUGCUGCGGGCUGCUUUGUAUUUUAAAACACAGCUUGAGAGUUCAGAGUUGGUGGUUUGCUCACUUAACUGUUGUUAAGAUGGCUUGAAAAGUUUCAUUUUAUACACUGGUACCCUGGCUUGAAAUUUUUCCACUUUGGUUAUCUAUGUUACUAUAUUAUAUAUUUAUAAAGUUAUUUUAAGAACUCUAAACUACCUGCUGUUAAAAGAAUAGAUGGUGUAAUUUUUUCCUGGUUUAAGAAAUGUAUUGUUAAACUUUUCUAAGACAGUCACUUUUCAAGGAAGAGGGCUUUCACUUUUGAGUGUGUAGUUGAGUGAGCAGG
RNAcentral lists this long non-coding RNA (722 nucleotides) under Homo sapiens (human). RNAcentral's name for it is "HSALNT0153837". The record is from RNAcentral. Lineage: Eukaryota; Metazoa; Chordata; Mammalia; Primates; Hominidae.